RNAcentral lists this ribosomal RNA (253 nucleotides) under uncultured bacterium. RNAcentral's name for it is "partial 16S ribosomal RNA". It matches the Rfam family "Bacterial small subunit ribosomal RNA", at positions 524 to 776 of the family's 1533-position model. The record is from RNAcentral.
GACGUAGGGGGCGAGCGUUGUCCGGAUUUAUUGGGCGUAAAGCGCGCGUAGGCGGCCGCGCAAGUCGGAUGUGAAAGCCCGGGGCUCAACCCCGGACGUGCAUUCGAUACUGCGCGGCUCGAGACAGGUAGGGGAGAUCGGAAUUCCUGGUGUAGCGGUGAAAUGCGCAGAUAUCAGGAGGAACACCGGUGGCGAAGGCGGAUCUCUGGGCCUGUUCUGACGCUGAGGCGCGAAAGCUAGGGGAGCGAACAGG